RNAcentral lists this ribosomal RNA (468 nucleotides) under uncultured bacterium. Its description in RNAcentral is "bacterial SSU rRNA". It matches the Rfam family "Bacterial small subunit ribosomal RNA", at positions 328 to 793 of the family's 1533-position model. The record is from RNAcentral.
CUUCCAGACUCCUACGGGAGGCAGCAGUGAGGAAUAUUGGUCAAUGGGCGAGAGCCUGAACCAGCCAAGUCGCGUGAAGGAUGACGGCCCUACGGGUUGUAAACUUCUUUUGUCAGGGAGCAAUUGAGUCCACGUGUGGGCUUAGCGAGAGUACCUGAAGAAAAAGCAUCGGCUAACUCCGUGCCAGCAGCCGCGGUAAUACGGAGGAUACGAGCGUUAUCCGGAUUUAUUGGGUUUAAAGGGUGCGUAGGCGGGAUGCCAAGUCAGCGGUAAAAAUGCGGUGCUCAACGCCGUCGAGCCGUUGAAACUGGCGUUCUUGAGUGGGCGAGAAGUAUGCGGAAUGCGUGGUGUAGCGGUGAAAUGCAUAGAUAUCACGCAGAACUCCGAUUGCGAAGGCAGCAUACCGGCGCCCGACUGACGCUGAGGCACGAAAGCGUGGGUAUCGAACAGGAUUAGAUACCCCGGUAA